Molecule: ribosomal RNA, 390 nt
Filed under: uncultured bacterium
Lineage: Bacteria
Description: bacterial SSU rRNA
Rfam family: Bacterial small subunit ribosomal RNA
Source: RNAcentral
GACGAACGCUGGCGGCGUGCUUAACACAUGCAAGUCGAGCGGUAAGGCCCUUUCGGGGGUACGACGAGCGGCGAACGGGUGAGUAACACGUGGGUGACCUGCCCUCAGCUCUGGGAUAAGCCUGGGAAACCGGGUCUAAUACUGGAUAUGACUCCAUGACGCAUGUUGGUGGGGUGGAAAGCCUUGUGCGGCUGAGGAUGGGCCCGCGGCCUAUCAGCUUGUUGGUGGGGUGAGGCCUACCAAGGCGACGACGGGUAGCCGGCCUGAGAGGGCGACCGGCCACACUGGGACUGAGACACGGCCCAGACUCCGUACGGGAGGCAGCAGUGGGGAAUCUUGCGCAAUGGGCGAAAGCCUGAUGCAGCGACGCCGCGUGAGGGAUGACGGCCU